GACGAACGCUGGCGGCGUGCUUAACACAUGCAAGUCGAACGGUGACCCAGGGCUUGCCCUGGUGAUCAGUGGCGAACGGUGAGUAAACACGUGGGCAACCUGCCCCCUGACUUCGGGAUAACUCCUCGAAAGAGGAGCUAAUACCGGAUACGACCACUUCGGACAUCCGAUGGUGGUGGAAAGUUUUUCGGUCAGGGAUGGGCCCGCGGCCUAUCAGCUAGUUGGUGGGGUAAUGGCCUACCAAGGCGACGACGGGUAGCCGGCCUGAGAGGGCGACCGGCCACACUGGGACUGAGACACGGCCCAGACUCCUACGGGAGGCAGCAGUGGGGAAUAUUGCGCAAUGGGCGAAAGCCUGACGCAGCGACGCCGCGUGAGGGAUGAAGGCCUCGGUUGUAACCUCUUUCAGCAGGACGAAGCGAAAGUAGACGGUACCUGCAGAGAAGCACCGGCUAACUACGUGCCAGCAGCCGCGGUAAU
RNAcentral lists this ribosomal RNA (480 nucleotides) under uncultured bacterium. RNAcentral describes it as "bacterial SSU rRNA". It matches the Rfam family "Bacterial small subunit ribosomal RNA", at positions 28 to 524 of the family's 1533-position model. The record is from RNAcentral.